AGGACGAACGCUUGCGACGUGCCUAAGAAAUGCAAGUCGAACGGACAGCAGCAAUGCUGUUAGUGGCGAACGGUCGCGUAACACGUGGGCAACCUGCCCUGAAGCGGGGGGACAACAACUCGAAAGAGUUGCUAAUACCGCAUGUGAAUUGCUCUGGCAUCAGAGCGUAUUCAAAGCCGCAAGGCACUUCAGGAUGGGCCCGCGGCCUAUCAGCUAGUUGGUGAGGUAACGGCCCACCAAGGCUUCGACGGGUAGCUGGUCUGAGAGGACGAUCAGCCGGAUUGGGGACUGAGAUACGGCCCAGACUCCUACGGGGGGGCAGGCAAUUAGGAAUCUUGCGCAAUGGGCGAAAGCCUGACGCAGCGACGUCGCGUGAAGGAUGAAAUCUUUCGGGAUGUAACUUCUUUUUUUCGGGGAAGUAACAAAUGACGGUACCGAAGAAUAAGCCCGGCUAACUACGUGCCAGCAGCCGCGGUAA
Molecule: ribosomal RNA, 478 nt
Filed under: uncultured bacterium
Lineage: Bacteria
Description: SSU rRNA
Rfam family: Bacterial small subunit ribosomal RNA
Source: RNAcentral